RNAcentral lists this transfer RNA (73 nucleotides) under Paramuricea clavata. It matches the Rfam family "tRNA". From Rfam's summary of the family: Transfer RNA (tRNA) molecules are approximately 80 nucleotides in length. Their secondary structure includes four short double-helical elements and three loops (D, anti-codon, and T loops). Further hydrogen bonds mediate the characteristic L-shaped molecular structure. tRNAs have two regions of fundamental functional importance: the anti-codon, which is responsible for specific mRNA codon recognition, and the 3' end, to which the tRNAs corresponding amino acid is attached (by aminoacyl-tRNA synthetases). tRNAs cope with the degeneracy of the genetic code in two manners: having more than one tRNA (with a specific anti-codon) for a particular amino acid; and 'wobble' base-pairing, i.e. permitting non-standard base-pairing at the 3rd anti-codon position. The record is from Rfam by way of RNAcentral. Lineage: Eukaryota; Metazoa; Cnidaria; Anthozoa; Malacalcyonacea; Plexauridae.
GACCGCGUAGCUCAGUUGGCAGAGCAUUGGGCUAGUAUGCCAAAGGUCAUAGGUUCGAUUCCCACCGUGGUCA